RNAcentral lists this ribosomal RNA (497 nucleotides) under uncultured bacterium. Its description in RNAcentral is "partial 16S ribosomal RNA". It matches the Rfam family "Bacterial small subunit ribosomal RNA", at positions 28 to 507 of the family's 1533-position model. The record is from RNAcentral.
GACGAACGCUGGCGGCGUGCCUAAUACAUGCAAGUCGAGCGAACGGACGAGAAGUUUGUUUCUUUGAUGUUAGCGGCAGACGUGUGUGUAACGCGUGGAUAACCUACCUAUAAGACUGGGAUAACUUCGGGACACCGGAGCUAAUACCGGAUAAUAUUUUGAACCGCAUGGUUCAAAAGUGAAAGACGGUCUUGCUGUCACUUAGAGAUGGAUCCGCGCUGCAUUAGCUAGUUGGUAAGGUCACGGCAUACCAAGGCAACGAUGCAUAGCCCAUCUGAGAGGGUGAUCGGCCACACGGGAACUGAGACACGGCCCAGACUCCUACGGGAGGCAGCAGUAGGGAAUCUUACGCAAUGGGCGAAAGCCUGACGGAGCAACGCCGCGUGAGUGAUGAAGGUCUUCGGAUCGUAAAACGCUGUUAUUAGGGAAGAACAUAUGUGUAAGUAACUGUGCACAUCUUGACGGUACCUAAUCAGAAAGCCACGGCUAACUACGUG